Molecule: long non-coding RNA, 2862 nt
Organism: Eutrema salsugineum
Lineage: Eukaryota; Viridiplantae; Streptophyta; Magnoliopsida; Brassicales; Brassicaceae
Exons: 3
Source: RefSeq, a predicted model, not a curated record
CUCUCUCUUCUCCCUCGACAAAUUUUUUUCCCAAACUCUAUCUUUAUCCUGCGAUUCAAUUUGCAAUUGAGAGAUGUAUCCUUCGAGUCAUCCAUGCAUGUCGAAUCGAAUCGGUUCGUUGCUUUGAUGGGAGGAAUAUCUGCGAUUUUCUGGGUAGAGGGUGAUGGUGCGAAGGAAAACCCAGGCUCGAAAUUACUUGGAUUUGGUUCUUCUACUAGUUUGUUUCUUUGACUGAUGAUGAGGGUUAUCUCAAGGCUUGCAUGAUCUCGGAACACAAAGCUUGGUCUAACGGCCAAGGGUUGAUUUAAUGGUUGAGCUUCUCUAACCAGGAAAUCGAGUGGAGGAUCGGUUAAGUAACAAUGGAAUGAGGUGCACCACACAAGCUGUGAAAGGCUUGUGAUAAAACACAAGAGAUCUUUGGCUUAGGAGGAACUGGUUUCGACUAGAACAAAGAGAUUUAACAAGUUUUUCUUUGCUGAGAAAAGCUUGAAAGAAAAGUUCGAUUUUAUUGAUCAAAGUUCAAAAGAUUACACGGCCGUAAAGGGACUUAUAUAAUGUCCAAGCGGCUUAGACUCAAAAGAAAAAAAAAGACUAAAUGCGACAGGACUUGAAAAGGAAAAGUGCAACAUCAAAGGUAAAUAAACAAGGAAAACUAUAAAGAAAAUUCAAACUAAUAAGCUAAAGUCUGGACUAAAUUCUUGCGGCUGAAACACAACAAAGACAAUGAAAUUCAUUAGUCAAAUUAAUUGAAAGACUUACCUUAUUUGGGACCAUGAUUAACUCAUCUCCAAUCUUGUCUUUGACCACGCUUGAAUGCUCCCCUCUAGGCGUCUUGAUUCAUUCUCGAAAUGGUGAGUACUUGAACUUGGGCUUGUCUUUUCAAAAGAGGCCAACACUCUUGACUCUUUGGGCUGCUUGAUGGAGGAUCUUGAAAUGUCUUGGUCCAAACGUGUAGACAAUGAUCCAUUUCCUUUGGGCUUUCUUCUAGUUGCACUUGAUCUUCCUUUGUUAUCUCUUUAGUUGCGGCUUGUAUGCUUUGAUUGUAUUUGUGUUGUAGUAUCCUUGCUCUGGCCCUGGUUAUUGGUCCUUCAUGCAUCGUUGAGACCUCAAUGUCAAGGAGUUGGGGCUCGGUCAGAUCCGGUUCAGCUUCAAUAGGUGAAAUAGAGGCUGGUGUCGAGCGACACCACCAUCGAUGUCGCCUGUCACUUGUUUCUGUUCAAAAAAAUAAAAAAAAAUAAAGUAAUCAGGAAACCGGAGUCAAAGCAGAAAUUUGGAUGGGUUUGCUGCAAUUCAGUACAAAGAGAACGAGUGUCACACUACACCAUCAUCAGUGUCGGUCGACGCCAUCAUCGCAGCCAGGUAAGUUCUCCAUUUUUACUUGUUUCUUUAUUUAUUUUCUUUUGUUUCACCAACCUUAGUCUUGAUAACAUUGGGGACAGUGUUGUUUAAGUCUGGGGGAAGUGGUCGCUGUUAUUUUGUUUGUUUUUUCUUAAGAGUCAGUUGUGUCAAAUUGUUUUUGAGUCAAAACCUGUUGGAGAUUAUGAUGCUUUUCUUGGAUUGUUGUUCUGACCUAUCAUCUAAGUGACCAUUACUGCAGAAUCAGUCUAGAUCUGACUAAUGAAAUAUCCAAAGGUUGAUCAGUUGACUAGAGGCGUCCAUGUUUCCAACAAAGUCUACUAACCUAAGCUAAUUUCUGAACUCUUUCUUUUACCUCAUUGAUGUGACUGAUGUUCAUAGAGUUUGAUUCCUCAUUCAUACUUGACAAAUGAAAGCCUGUGUGAGAUCUAAAGUUGGUGCUUUGCUCCCUUAUGUUCAGUAUAAAAAGAAUGAAAAAGGCGAAAAGAUUGAGAUGAUUUUCUUCUAGGAGUAAAGGGCUAGGAAAAUUUCCAAUGAUCUCAUUAUUUUACUUUUAAGAAUGAAUGAUCACACAAAGAAAGGAAGCGAGGGGUAGAAAAGUUUCCUAUGACCCCAUUAUUCGCUGAAAACAAUUGAUACAUACUAAGGGGACAAAUCGGGGAUUCGAUGGCAAACACCAUCAAUACUCGCAUCUUUAACCUUACCGUGUAUGCCAUAAAAGAUGAGAGUGUGAAAAGAAUAAGUCUGGGGGAAGAGAAGAAGUACCAAAAUUUGUAUGGCUGAUUUGUCAAAGUAUAGUACGGGAAAGAGUCUAGAAGGUUCUUGGCACUAGAAUCAUUGAUGAGACCCAGCGAUGAGGGUUUAUGGACAAUGGUGUAGAUUUUGGAUUUAAUCUGAGAGGCUGUGAAUGUCUGCGGAGAACUACAUGGUGGUUCAAUUUGGAAUGAUGAAGCAGCAUGUGGAUUAUAAGGUGAUCGGUCAAAGCGAUGUUCCAUUGAAAAGUUGAAUCUCCGUGUUUUUCAAAUCUCUUUCUCUUGCUUGGUAUUCUGUUUGCUUGAGGGCAAGCAAAUGCUAAGUCUGGGGGAGUUGAUAUAAUGGUUUUUAUGGUUUUUGACCAUGAUAUAGGUCUUAUUUAUAGAGUUUUUUUAGUGUUUUAGAGUCUUUUGGAGUCUUUACAGGUCUUAGGUCCGUGUGGAGCUUAAUUGGAGAUUUUGGAUCACUUUGGAGCACUUUGGAGCAAAACAGGGAUCAAAUUUGUGAAGCAUGAAUUAUGUGCUUUAGUGUCGCUUGACACCAUGGAGAGUGACGCUCGACACCGAUCGCAGAAAUAAGAAAAACGUGAUUUUGUCUCAGUUUUGAAGAAUCUCUUGGGCCCAGAAAUCUCCAAUAUUUACAAGGAAGCCCAACACGUGUUUUUAGUAUUUAUUAGGGUUUUCAGCCAUGAUGAGCGUGUAAACACGGGGUUGGUUGUUUUCGUUUUACUAAGCUUCAGGUUUUAAAUUUAUA